Molecule: long non-coding RNA, 388 nt
Filed under: Phasianus colchicus (ring-necked pheasant)
Lineage: Eukaryota; Metazoa; Chordata; Aves; Galliformes; Phasianidae
Description: lncRNA (ENSPCLG00000015500.1)
Source: RNAcentral
GUUAAAGCUGAAGCACAAAGGAUAAGGAGAUGGGAGAGACUUUGCUGGGUAUUCACUCCCCAUGAAUGGAUAGCACCUGCCAAGAGGUGUUCCUGUUGUGUCUCCUGAGAAAUGUCUGGUUUCUGAUACUAGAGAAGUUCACAGGGAUAUGAGGAACAAGUGGCACCCUCAGUCUGUGCAUUCUGCUACAGGAAGUGAACGCUGAGCAUUCCGAUUCAGAUCGCAAAUUAGUGAGUUUAGCUACCCAAGCACCAGUGGCAGUGCUAGUAAUAAACCCAGGUGUAUUGCUAUCAAGUGACUGCAUUAGAUCCAUAUACUCUGAAAGAUUCACUUCAGCAUUAAAAGACAAAUGAUUGCCUUACAAUAAGUAAGAAGUACAUUUAUAACA